Small nuclear RNA from Notechis scutatus (mainland tiger snake), 106 nucleotides. NCBI's taxonomy places the organism in Eukaryota, Metazoa, Chordata, Lepidosauria, Squamata, Elapidae. The record is from Ensembl.
UAUAUAUAUAUAUAUAUUAAAUACUAAAAGUGGAAUGAUACAGAGAAGAUUGCAAGCCCCCGGCAGAAAGGAUGACACGCAAAAUCAUGAAGUGUUAAGGGUUACG